UGGGGAAUUUUAGACAAUGGGGGAAACCCUGAUCUAGCCAUGCCGCGUGAGUGACGAAGGCCUUAGGGUCGUAAAGCUCUUUCGCCAGGGAAGAUAAUGACGGUACCUGGUAAAGAAGUCCCGGCUAACUCCGUGCCAGCAGCCGCGGUAAUACGGAGGGGACUAGCGUUGUUCGGAAUUACUGGGCGUAAAGCGCGCGUAGGCGGGCUGUUAAGUCAGAGGUGAAAUCCCAGGGCUCAACCCUGGAACUGCCUUUGAUACUGGCGGCCUUGAGUUCGAGAGAGGUGAGUGGAAUUCCGAGUGUAGAGGUGAAAUUCGUAGAUAUUCGGAGGAACACCAGUGGCGAAGGCGGCUCACUGGCUCGAUACUGACGCUGAGGUGCGAAAGUGUGGGGAGCAAACAGGAUUAGAUACCCCCGUAGUCC
This 424-nucleotide ribosomal RNA is filed under the name uncultured prokaryote. Its description in RNAcentral is "bacterial SSU rRNA". It matches the Rfam family "Bacterial small subunit ribosomal RNA", at positions 355 to 796 of the family's 1533-position model. The record is from RNAcentral.